This 380-nucleotide long non-coding RNA is filed under the name Ananas comosus (pineapple). RNAcentral describes it as "long non-coding RNA (ACOM_LNC038585)". Lineage: Eukaryota; Viridiplantae; Streptophyta; Magnoliopsida; Poales; Bromeliaceae. The record is from RNAcentral.
UUUAAAAUUUUAGAUUUCAAAUAUUAGAUUUUAAAUUUUAUACCCUUCUCCUCUCUCUCACUCAUUCUCUAUCUCUCUCUAUCUAAAUUUAAAGUUAAAUAUUUAAAAUUUAAAAGUUUUUAUUAUUUAAAAUGUAAAGCGAGUUAUUCGAUGCAUAUAAAUCUUUAGAAUUUAGGAAAAUUAGUAUUCAACAAAACCCUAUAUAAAAUUAUAUAUUCAAAAUAUAUAAACUGAAUUAAGAUAAAAUGUAUUUUCUAAAAUUUAAAUUUAAAUUUUUAAAUUGUAAAUUUCAAAUUUCAGGAUUUAAACAAAAGGGAGUUAGAAAGUUAAAUUUCAAAUAAAUUACAUAAAUUUUCUGCCGCGAAGCGCGGGCCUACACU